AUCCCCCGACACACAAAGUUUCCCCUUUGGUAAUCAUAAUUUUGGUUUCCACAUCUUUGAUUGUGUUUCUGCUUGGUAAAUAAGUUCUUUUGUAUCAUUUUUAUUAGAUUUCACAAAUUUAGUGAUCUCAUAUGAUAUUUGUCUUUUUCUGCCUGACUUACUUCACUUAGUAUGAUAAUUUCUAAUUCCAUCCAUGUUACUGCAAAUUGAAUUAUUUCAUUCCUUUCUUGGCUAAUAUUCUCUCUCUCUCUAUUUCUCUCUCUAUAUAUAUAUUCCAUAUGCCACAUCUUCAUUAUUCAUUCCUUUGUCAUUGGACAUUUAGGUUGCUUCAAUGACUUGUAUCUUUUCAAAUUAUGGUUUUCUCCAGGUAUAUGCCCGGAAGUGGGAUAUCUGUUUCAUAUGGUAAUUCUAUAUUUAGUUUUUUAAGGAAUCUCCAUAUGUUCUCCAUAGUGGUUGCUCCCAUUUACAUUUCCACCAACAGUAUAGAAGAGUUCCCAGGCUAGGGAUCUAAUCAGAACUACAGCUGCUGGCCUAUACCAGAGCCAUAGCAACACUGGAUUUGAGCCGUGUCUGUGACCUACACCACAGCUCACGGCAAUGCUGGCUCCUUAACCCACUGAGCAAGGGCGGGGAUCAAAACCCCCGUCCUCAUGGAUACUAGUGGGGCUCGUUACCACUGAGGCACAAUGGGAACUCCCUCUGACUGUUUUUUAAUUGUUUUGUUUGUUUGUUUUUUUGAUAUAAAGCUGUAUGUGAUGUUUGUGUGUUUUGGAGAGUAAUCACUUGUUGGUUACUUUGUUUGCAAACAGUUUCUCCCAUUUCUGUGGGUUGUCUUUUUGUUUUGUUUUUAUAGUUUCCUUUGGUGUGCAAAAGCUUUUAAGUUUAAUUAGGUCCCAUUUGUUUAUUUUUGUUUUUAUUGUCAUUACUUUAGAAAGUGGAUCAAAAAAGAUAUUGCUGCAAUUUAUGUCAAAGAGUGUUCUGCCUAUGUUUUCCUCUAAGCUUUUUAUGGUAUCUGGCCUUAGAUUUAGGUCUUUAGUCCAUUUUGUAUUUAUUUUUGUGUAUAGUGUGAGAGGAUGUUCUAAUUUCAUUCUUCUACAUUUUUUAAAAAUUUAAAGUUAAUAUUUUUCAAUUUAAAAAUUAAAACUUUAAAUUAUAAUUUAAAAUUUUAAUUUAAAAAUAUAUUAGUCUUAAAUUAUGCAGGAAACAAGUUUUGGAGUUAUACAUCAAGUGGAUAGUGAUACUAACUUUUAGACUAAUAAUUGUUAUUUCUUUUCUUUAAACGUAUAUUAGCCUAUGAAAUCACAUAGAAAACAGAAGUGCAGUUACAAACCAUUGUUAGGAUAACACUAACCUCUAUAAAUGCCCAUGCAUUUACCUCUACUGGGAUAUUUAUUUCUCCAUACAGCUUCAAGUUACUAUGUACUGUCUUUUCAUUUCACCUUGUGGAACUCCCUUGGUUGAGAACUGAAUGUUUGGAUAUAAUAAUGUAGUUGCUCUGGAAAUCAGAUUUGUCUCUUCCCCAGAGUUUGCUGCUUUUUGUUAUUGUUACUAAUUAUUGUCCAUGGUUUGGUUUGGUUUUGAUUGCCAUAGACUGUCCCUGUGGUGAGAAUUAGUUUGAUAUGUAAUACUAAGGUCUUCGCAGGUCUUUUCUGAUUCUUUCCCUGGGCAUGUCCUUCACUUUCUCAUUUACCCCACUCAUACAGCUGUUUUUGAAUGUCCUUGUUUUUAUCUCUCUUAUUUCUUAGGGCUGCACCCCCGGCAUAUGGAGGUUUCCAGGCUAGAGGUUGAAACAGAGCUGUAGCCGCUGGCCUAUACCACAGCUCACAGCAACGCCAGAUCCUUAACCCACUGAGCGAGGACAUCAAACCUGUGUCCUCAUGGAUGCUAGUCAGAUUCAUUUCUUAUGAGCCAUGAUGGGAACUCCAGGAUGUCCUUGUUUCUAAAUGUCUGUCUCCCAAAA
Molecule: long non-coding RNA, 1960 nt
Filed under: Sus scrofa (pig)
Lineage: Eukaryota; Metazoa; Chordata; Mammalia; Artiodactyla; Suidae
Description: lncRNA (ENSSSCG00055011292.1, ENSSSCG00060045795.1)
Source: RNAcentral